GUAGGUGGCAAGCGUUAUCCGGAAUUAUUGGGCGUAAAGCGCGCGCAGGCGGUUUCUUAAGUCUGAUGUGAAAGCCCACGGCUCAACCGUGGAGGGUCAUUGGAAACCGGGGAACUUGAGUGCAGAAGAGAAAAGCGGAAUUCCACGUGUAGCGGUGAAAUGCGUAGAGAUGUGGAGGAACACCAGUGGCGAAGGCGGCUUUUUGGUCUGUAACUGACGCUGAGGCGCGAAAGCGUGGGGAGCAAACAGGAUUAGAUACCCUGGUAGUCCACGCCGUAAACGAUGAGUGCUAAGUGUUAGAGGGUUUCCCGCCCUUUAGUGCUGCAGCUAACGCAUUAAGCACUCCGCCUGGGGAGUACGGUCGCAAGACUG
RNAcentral lists this ribosomal RNA (372 nucleotides) under uncultured organism. Its description in RNAcentral is "partial 16S ribosomal RNA". It matches the Rfam family "Bacterial small subunit ribosomal RNA", at positions 527 to 896 of the family's 1533-position model. The record is from RNAcentral.